CACGUAGUUAGCCGUGGCUUUCUGAUUAGGUACCGUCAAGACGUGCACAGUUACUUACACAUUUGUUCUUCCCUAAUAACAGAGUUUUACGAUCCGAAGACCUUCAUCGACUCACGCGGCGUUGCUCCGUCAGGCUUUCGCCCAUUGCGGAAGAUUCCCUACUGCUGCCUCCCGUAGGAGUCUGGACCGUGUCUCAGUUCCAGUGUGGCCGAUCACCCUCUCAGGUCGGCUACGUAUCGUUGCCUUGGUAAGCCAUUACCCCACAACUAGCUAAUACGGCGCGGGUCCAUCUAUAAGUGAUAGUAACAAUCUUCUACUUAGUAACCACUGCGGUUCUAAUAAUUAUUACCGGCAUUAGUACCCGGUUCCCGGUACGGUUAUUCCACGUCUUAUAGGUAGGUUACCCUACGUGUUACUCUACCGUCCGCCGCUAACGU
This 437-nucleotide ribosomal RNA is filed under the name uncultured Staphylococcus sp. RNAcentral's name for it is "partial 16S ribosomal RNA". Lineage: Bacteria; Bacillati; Bacillota; Bacilli; Caryophanales; Staphylococcaceae. The record is from RNAcentral.